AGGAUUCAUCAUAAUUAUCGACUGAUUCUAUUAGACUUGCUAGAUCACCAACCCCAGCACGGACUAAUCUCUCAUUCCAUCUUCUAGAGAACCUUGGAUAACUGAUCAGAUGGUUUCGUGUGUUCUUAGACUUUAUGAGAAGUCAUGUCCUCUGAUGAAAAAGGACAAUGGCGUAAACCCGAUGGCUGCUACCCUUGAAUAUCCCUUUUUAGUUGCUAAAACUAGCUAACUAACUAGCUAAAACGGGCCCUCUUGAUUUGAGAGGUAACUCCUUUGCUACUUUUAAUGGACUUCAUCCAAUUGGUAAAAGCUGACGAGAGAAUGCUGUGAUUCAAGACUGAUAGAUUGUGUAGUUGUUAGAUCAAUCACAAGUGCAUAUCUGGGCUCCCUUCUUUUCUGUGGUCUCCCUGGCUACAGUCAAUUAAGGCAGUGUCUCCCCCUGUCUUCAUUGACUACCUGUGCAAGUUUUAGAAGCAGUUUAUCACCCAAAUGAAACAAAAAGAGUUUGUUAGGCUUGUUUUAUUUGGGUAUAAUUGGUUUUAAAACUUGCACAGAAAAACAAUUGUCUUGUACCGGACGCUUUGUUUAUUAAAUACAAACCAUUUUUAUGAUAAA
This is a long non-coding RNA of Daphnia pulex (common water flea), 615 nucleotides long. RefSeq lists it as uncharacterized. Lineage: Eukaryota; Metazoa; Arthropoda; Branchiopoda; Diplostraca; Daphniidae. The transcript has 3 exons. The record is from RefSeq and is a predicted model, not a curated record.